RNAcentral lists this ribosomal RNA (253 nucleotides) under uncultured bacterium. RNAcentral describes it as "partial 16S ribosomal RNA". It matches the Rfam family "Bacterial small subunit ribosomal RNA", at positions 524 to 776 of the family's 1533-position model. The record is from RNAcentral.
UACGGAGGAGGCAAGCGUUAUCCGGAUUUAUUGGGCGUAAAGCGUCCGCAGGUGGUUUAGCAAGUCUGCUGUCAAAGCGCGAAGCUCAACUUCGUAUAGGCCGUGGAAACUGCUGAACUUGAGUGUGAUAGGGGCAGAGGGAAUUCCCAGUGUAGCGGUGAAAUGCGUAGAGAUUGGGAAGAACACCGGUGGCGAAAGCGCUCUGCUGGGUCAUAACUGACACUGAGGGACGAAAGCUAGGGGAGCGAAAGGG